UGUUUCCGUAGGUGAACCUGCGGAAGGAUCAUUGUCGAAACCUGCUCCGCAGAACGACCCGCGAACGCGUCCACAAACGCGGGGACCGCGGGGGCCUUCGGUCCCCCCCGUCGCCCCGAAAGGUCGGGGAAGCAGGCUGGGCCUCGCCCCGCCGGCUCUCCGCGGCCCUAACAACCAACCCCGGCGCGAGAAGCGCCAAGGAACAUGAAACGAAAAAGAGCGCGCUCCCGUUCGGGACGCGUCGUCCUCUUUCGAGAACCAUAACGACUCUCGGCAACGGAUAUCUCGGCUCUCGCAUCGAUGAAGAACGCAGCAAAAUGCGAUACUUGGUGUGAAUUGCAGAAUCCCGCGAACCAUCGAGUCUUUGAACGCAAGUUGCGCCCGAAGCCAUCCGGCCGAGGGCACGUCUGCCUGGGUGUCACGCAACCGUCGCCCCCAACCCCCUCGCCCCGUGCGGGGUGCGGGGGCGGAUCCUGGCCUCCCGUGCGCUCCUCGCUCGCGGUUGGCCCAAAAGCCGAGUCCUCGGCGAUGAUCGCCACGGCUAUCGGUGGUUGAAAGACCCUCGGACAGAGCCGCGCGCGCCAUCGGCCACCGGGACCCCGAGACCCCCUGCGCGUCCCCCAAGGAGGGAACGCCUCCGACCGCGACCCCAGGUCAGCGGAAAACACCUGAUUUAAGCAUAUUAAUAAGC
RNAcentral lists this ribosomal RNA (691 nucleotides) under Hevea brasiliensis (rubber tree). RNAcentral's name for it is "eukaryotic LSU rRNA". The stretch from base 266 to 421 matches the Rfam family "5.8S ribosomal RNA". Lineage: Eukaryota; Viridiplantae; Streptophyta; Magnoliopsida; Malpighiales; Euphorbiaceae. The record is from RNAcentral.